GACGAACGCUGGCGGCGCGCUUUAUACAUGCAAGUCGAACGAGAAGCCAGAGCUUGCUCUGGUGGAAAGUGGCGAACGGGUGAGUAACACGUGAGAAACCUGCCCCAAAGACUGGGAUAAGCCGAGGAAACUUGGUCUAAUACCGGAUACCUUCUUUUUAUCACAUGUUAAAAAGAAGAAAUGCUCCGGCGCUUUGGGAUGGUCUCGCGACCUAUCAGCUUGUUAGUGAGGUAAAAGCUCACCAAGGCAUCGACGGGUAGCUGGUCUGAGAGGAUGUCCAGCCACAUUGGGACUGAGAUACGGCCCAAACUCCUACGGGAGGCAGCAGUAGGGAAUCUUGCACAAUGAGGGAAACCUUGAUGCAGCGACGCCGCGUGCGGGACGAAGGCCCUAGGGUUGUAAACCGCUUUCAGUAGGGACGAAAGUGACGGUACCUACAGAAGAAGCCCCGGCAACUAUGUGCCAGCAGCCGCGGUAAU
RNAcentral lists this ribosomal RNA (479 nucleotides) under uncultured bacterium. RNAcentral's name for it is "bacterial SSU rRNA". It matches the Rfam family "Bacterial small subunit ribosomal RNA", at positions 28 to 524 of the family's 1533-position model. The record is from RNAcentral.